Molecule: long non-coding RNA, 659 nt
Filed under: Homo sapiens (human)
Lineage: Eukaryota; Metazoa; Chordata; Mammalia; Primates; Hominidae
Description: HSALNT0115700
Source: RNAcentral
CCCCACCCCAUCUUUCACAGCACUUUCCAGGGGUCGCACCUAGGCCAGGCUGCGCUUUCACCAAACAAUACCUCCUCCUUGAUACGCACAUCCCUAUUCCAACCUCAGUGACCUCACUUUUUCUCCUGCUAAGGGGUCCCCUGGAAGACUCAUCCCCACAUUUUGCACAAAGGACAAUGUGCUGCAGUGAUGACCAUUGAAGAGCAGAGUUUUCUUCCUUAAUGUGAUAAUCUCCUUAUGUAAGAACAGUCACCAGUCACCCUCCCUAGAAAAGAUGUCUGGUGAGAAAGACUAGGUUUUCUUGCACACAAAUCUAUAUAGGUUAAAAACAUACAUUUGACAAGAUGUUUACGUAUCUGCUAGAACAUGAGCUAACUACCCCUGGCAUAUAUAUAAAGGAAGCAACUUUGAUUAAAAAUUAGAUUUGGAAAUCAAUUAUUUUAAUAUCUAUUUGCCUAAGCAAAUGGCAUUUUUUCAUUUUCCAUUCUGAGGGUUAUAACUUUGAAUUGCUUUUGUCUCUUGGUCAUUCACUUUUCUACAAUAGAAAGUGAUGAGAAGGAAGUGAAUUUGCCUUGAGUUAUAAAUUUAGGCCUUUGAACUUCCAUUACAGUACCAACAGCAACACUAAGCACUAGCCUUGCCUCUUGUCCGCAUUCCUG